UACGUAGGGGGCAAGCGUUGUCCGGAUUUAUUGGGCGUAAAGAGCGUGUAGGCGGUUUGGUAGGUCCGUUGUGAAAACUCGAGGCUCAACCUCGAGACGCCGAUGGAAACCAUCAGACUAGAGUCCGGAAGAGGAGAGUGGAAUUCCUGGUGUAGCGGUGAAAUGCGCAGAUAUCAGGAAGAACCACCCGUGGCGAAGGCGGCUCGCUGGGCCGGUCCUGACGCUGAAACGCGAAGGCGUGGGGAGCGAACGGG
RNAcentral lists this ribosomal RNA (254 nucleotides) under uncultured bacterium. Its description in RNAcentral is "partial 16S ribosomal RNA". It matches the Rfam family "Bacterial small subunit ribosomal RNA", at positions 524 to 776 of the family's 1533-position model. The record is from RNAcentral.